RNAcentral lists this ribosomal RNA (253 nucleotides) under uncultured bacterium. Its description in RNAcentral is "partial 16S ribosomal RNA". It matches the Rfam family "Bacterial small subunit ribosomal RNA", at positions 524 to 776 of the family's 1533-position model. The record is from RNAcentral.
UACGGAGGGGGCUAGCGUUGUUCGGAAUUACUGGGCGUAAAGCGCACGUAGGCGGCUUUGUAAGUUAGAGGUGAAAGCCCGGGGCUCAACUCCGGAACUGCCUUUAAGACUGCAUCGCUUGAAUCCAGGAGAGGUGAGUGGAAUUCCGAGUGUAGAGGUGAAAUUCGUAGAUAUUCGGAGGAACACCAGUGGCGAAGGCGGCUCACUGGCUCGACACUGACGCUGAGGUGCGAAAGCGUGGGGAGCAAACAGG